GAUGAACGCUGGCGGCGUGCUUAACACAUGCAAGUCGAACGAUAAGGCCCAGCUUGCUGGGUGGGCUAGUGGCGAGCGGGUGAGUAAAACAUGAGUAAACCGCCCUUAACUCUGGGAUAAGCCUGCGGAACUGGGUCUAUUACCGGGUAGAGGCGUCCACCGUGUGGUGUGGGUUGGAGAGAUUUAGCGGUUUUGGAUGGACUCGCGGCCUAUCAGCUUGUUGGUGAGGUAAUGGCUCACCAAGGCGACGACGGGUAGCCGGCCUGAGAGGGUGACCGGCCACACUGGGACUGAGAUACGGCCCAGACUCCUACGGGAGGCAGCAGUGGGGAAUAUUGCACAAUGGGCGGAAGCCUGAUGCAGCGACGCCGCGUGAGGGAUGACGGCCUUCGGGUUGUAAACCUCUUUCAGCAGGGAAGAAGCGAAAGUGACGGUACCUGGAGAAGAAGCACCGGCUAACUACGUG
This 466-nucleotide ribosomal RNA is filed under the name uncultured bacterium. RNAcentral describes it as "partial 16S ribosomal RNA". It matches the Rfam family "Bacterial small subunit ribosomal RNA", at positions 28 to 507 of the family's 1533-position model. The record is from RNAcentral.